RNAcentral lists this ribosomal RNA (253 nucleotides) under uncultured bacterium. Its description in RNAcentral is "partial 16S ribosomal RNA". It matches the Rfam family "Bacterial small subunit ribosomal RNA", at positions 524 to 776 of the family's 1533-position model. The record is from RNAcentral.
UACGUAGGGUGCGAGCGUUAAUCGGAAUUACUGGGCGUAAAGGGCUCGUAGGUGGCCAACUAAGUCAGACGUGAAAUCCCUCGGCUUAACCGGGGAACUGCGUCUGAUACUGGAUGGCUUGAGUUUGGGAGAGGGAUGCGGAAUUCCAGGUGUAGCGGUGAAAUGCGUAGAGAUCGAGAGGAACACCAGUGGCGAAGGCGAGUUCCUGGACAAGUCCUGACGCUGAGGCACGAAAGCCAGGGGAGCAAACAGG